AUCGCUUCUUGGCCUUUUGGCUAAGAUCAAGUCUAGUAUAUUCCAGAUAGACUCAGCUUCUCUAUCUACUGAGCUCACUGAAGUGGGCUAUAAAGUGGCUUCUUGCUCCCCAAAGAGUACGUGGUACGUGAGUGGAGCCAUUUUUAUUUUGUUUUUUGUUUUUGGUACCGGGGAUUGAACUCCGGACCUUGAGCUCAUGAGGCGGGCAGCAGUGCCACUGAGCUAAAUUCUC
Molecule: small nuclear RNA, 232 nt
Filed under: Fukomys damarensis (Damara mole-rat)
Lineage: Eukaryota; Metazoa; Chordata; Mammalia; Rodentia; Bathyergidae
Description: U2 spliceosomal RNA
Rfam family: U2 spliceosomal RNA
About the family: U2 is a small nuclear RNA (snRNA) component of the spliceosome (involved in pre-mRNA splicing).
Source: Rfam by way of RNAcentral